RNAcentral lists this long non-coding RNA (4737 nucleotides) under Mytilus galloprovincialis (Mediterranean mussel). The record is from RNAcentral. Lineage: Eukaryota; Metazoa; Mollusca; Bivalvia; Mytilida; Mytilidae.
AGUUAACGUAAACAAUUUUACAUAAAAUCUUCACUUUACCGUAACAUCAUUUGUUUAUGUGGAAACCAGUGAAACGUGAAGAAAAUCGGAUCAAAUUUUGUAAAUAGUAGACAUAUUUUGGGGAUUAAUACACGAGGAUGAGUGAGUAUAUUCUAAUUUUUCAAUUGAAUUAGUACAUAUUUAAGAAAUGUGCUCUUUGUUGCGUAAGAAAUCAUGGAUUUCGGGUACAAAAAGUUUUCAUAAGGAGGAAGCAUAAUUUUCUUCAAGAACAAGGAAACAUUUGUAUCAUCUUACAAAAAAUAAAGAUUUUCAUGCCAUGUGUGCGUACAAGAACAAUGGCGGAUCCAGCCAUUUAAAAAAGGGGGUUCCCAACCCAGGACAAAAGGGGGUUGUUCCAACUACAUGUUCCCAUUCAAAUGCAUUGAUUGGCCGAAAAAAGGGGGUGGAUUCCAACCCCCGUACCACCCCCUGGAUCCGCCAAUGAAGAAGAAUACUAUAUUUAUUAAAAUUACCCUAAAUGACAUUUCUUUAAAAUAGAGACUAAAGAUACAAAGGCUUUUAGCAAUGUUUAGGGGGAGUGUUGAGAUAAAAAUAAAAAACAUGUUUUAACCCUGCCAAAAUACACCAGUCCCAAGUCAGGAGCCUCUGACCUUUGUUAGUCUUGCAUGAUUUUUAAUUUUGGUUUCUUGUGUAUAUUUCAGAGUUUAGUACGAGGUCCAUUAUCAUUUAACUAGCAUACAUUUUGUUUAGGGUCCAGCAGAAGCAUGCCUCUGGGCGGGGGAGAUUUAAGCUGCAUUGAAGACCCAUGGUGGCCCUUGGCUGUUGUCUGCGCUUUGGUCGAGUUGCUGUCUCCCUGACGUCAGUGUUUUCCUUUUUUCACUAAGGGAAGGUGGGUGUUUAAAAAAAAUCACUUGCAACCGGGUGUUUUUUGUAAAGUCCACCGUUUUUUUUAAAAUUUACUGUGGGCACGUGGGGUCACAAAUAAAGAUUAGGUAUAAUAUUCAUUUAAUGGAGUUGACAAACAUGAAUAGACUAGUCAUAUUAAUGUCAAAUAUUCUUUGAUUUGAUUUUUUUCAACAAUUUUAUCUCUUUUCUCUCUUGCUUUACAAUUUUUUUCUGUGUUCUGCUUUGUUCCGUAUUUUGGCCAUAGAACGUAGUAUCCUUCCUGUGCUAUAAGCCAUUGAAGUCUUGCUCAUAUUGUCUUCACUUGCGUGUCUUUUCCGUUGUUUGGUUGAUUUUUGUUCAAUUUCCACAACUUCAACAUUACUAUCAAUUUUAUUUAACUUAUUUGGUCUAGUAUUUUCUUUAUCAUCAUCGUCAUCAUGGUGAAAGGGAAAUAUAUUUAGAUCAUUUUGAGCCAAAAUUCACUUGUCUAUGAGUUUGCAUUAAAAAUUCAGGAUUAAUGCGCUACAUAGUACACUAAUAUAAGAUUUCCAGAAACCGGGAGUUAUUUUGGUAGUACCUGUCUUUUCAAAAUCAGAAAUUUGUUACAAGACUUUAAACAUUGGUUGAAAAUUGGCAUGUAGGAAGGUGAUAGAUGUACAAUUCAGGAUAUACCUGGUUUCCUUGAAGUUAAACUUAAGGUAAAAUAUUUAGAAAGCUGUGAAAAUUGCAAAAUUUGGUUGAACAGAUAGGGAUUUUUAAUUGGUGGUCUGACACCUUUAAACGGUACGGAACCGAAAAAAAUCCGAAAUUUGAAAAAAAAAGCCGACCACCUCCUAAAAUCGAAAGGUGGUCGGCUUUCAAAAGAAGGUGGUCGGCACACCCGGCUUAAAUGCCGAAUGGAAAACACUGGACGUAUUCCUCAUUUCCAUUUGCAAUUUUGCAAUUUAUUAUUAUUCAAACACAUAAAUCGAAAACAAACUGAACCUAUGCCAUGUUAGUCCAAAUAAUUAUGACGUCUGGCAAGGCUUUUUUAAUUUUUUUACGUUUUUACGUCCCAGAAAAAAAUUAAAAUAGCCUUGCCAGACGUCAUAAUCAUUUGGACUAAUGUCAUGUAUGCUGAAAUGGCAAAAAACCAAAAAAAAAUACAAAUACAUGGAUGCUUCUAGUACUAUAUAGUUUAGGGUGCACUAAAUCGGCCAUUGGCCCAUCAAAUUAUGUGAAUAUAAAAACCCAAGUGAGUGCUUUUCUAAAUAUGAAAAUUCAUGUAAUUGGCCAGUUCAAUUUGAAAUCCAUUUGAAUCAAGGUAAAUCUAUAAAGAUGACAGAAAUGUCUCAUUCUCCGUCUAGUGGUCUUAUACCAUUCUUUAAAAGAAUCCAGUCUUUAGCCAGGAAGAAGAAGAAUUAAAAACUUACUUGGAUUAAGUUAUGCAUAUACCAUGAUAUAUACAUGUAUACAUUGCAUAUAUUAUACUUUUCCAGUUUGCAGAACUUAGGAAAAUAAACUAACACACAAAUUUCAUUUGAUUCAGUCAACGUUAACUCAGUAAUCAAUGGUUAUACAUGUACAGUUUAAAUCACAUAUUGUUUGCAGGGGUUCAUCUACAUGUACAUGUACAUGUCUUGCACUUUUGUCUAUUUAAAUCAAUUUAACUCGCAACAUUAAUAAAAUGAGGGGAUGUUCUUAAACUUCUCUUUCAACUUAGUUUGUUUUAGCACCUUCUGCAGAAAUGUAAAAAAUUAAUAGCAAUAUUCUGGGAAGUUUUUUAAUAUUCUUAAACUCAAAAUGCAUUUUAAUUUUAAAUACAUGUAUCUAGGUCCAGACAUUCUCCAAACAUUUUCCUAGUGCACAGGCUUGUCUGUACUCAGAGUGAAAUUUGAGGUGUAAAUACGGCCAUAUUUGCUAAAAGUUUAUGAUAAACUUAAUGUAUAUAUGUUCUUUAUAUAGACUUUUUAUUAUAAAUGCUUACCCCGUAAGCACAGAUUUUUAGUUUUACCAUACAAAUCCUUGGCUUAAACAUGCUUAAGCAGCAUAGAAAUGUACAUGUACAUUGAUUCAUCAAACUCUGUAGACCAUCUUCUUAGGGAUAUUCAAACUAAUAUAUAAUGUAGUGGUUAAACUUCUCUCCUAACAAUCUGGCUUCUUUCACCAAUAUAAAAUGCAGUGGUUAAACUUCUCUCCUGACAAUCUGGCUUCUUUCACCAAUAUAAAAUGUAGUGGUUAAACUUCUCUCCAGACAAUCUGGCUUCUUUCACCAAUAUAAAAUGUAGUGGUUAAACGUCUCUCCAGACAAUCUGGCUUCUUUCACCAAUAUGAAAUGUAGUGGUUAAACUUCUCUCUUGACAAUAUAUGGCUCUUUCACAAUAUAAAAUGUAGUGGUUAAACUUCUCUCCUGACAAUCUGGCUUCUUUCACCAAUAUAAAAUGUAGUGGUUAAACUUCUCUCCUGACAAUCUGGCUUCUUUCACCAAUAUGAAAUGUAGUGGUUAAACUUCUCUCCUGACAAUCUGGCUUCUUUCACCAAUAUGAAAUGUAGUGGUUAAACUUCUCUCCAGACAAUCUGGCUUCUUUCACCAAUAUAAAAUGUAGUGGUUAAACUUCUCUUCAGACAAUCUGGCUUCUUUCACCAAUAUCAAUGUAGUGUUAAACUUCUUCUCCUGACAAUCUGGCUUCUUUCACCAAUAUAAAAUGUAGUGGUUAAACUUCUCUCCAGACAAUCUGGCUUCUUUCACCAAUAUAAAAAUGUAGUGGUUAAAUUUCUCUCCAGACAAUCUGGCUUCUUUCACCAAUAUACAAUGUAGUGGUUAAACUUCUCUCCUGACAAUCUGGCUUCUUUCACCAAUAUGAAAUGUAGUGGUUAAUAUUCUCUCCAGACAAUCUGGCUUCUUUCACCAAUAUAAAAUGUAGUGGGUUAACUUCUCUCCAGACAAUCUGUCUUCUUUCACCAAAUAAAAUGUAGUGGUUAAACUCUCUCCCGACAAUCUGGCUUCUUUCACAUAUAAAAUGUAGUGGUUAACUUCUCUCCUGACAUCUGGCUUUUUUCACCAAUAUAAAAUGUAAUGGUUAAACUUCUCUCCAGACAAUCUGGCUUCUUUCACCAAUAUAAAAUGUAGUGGUUAAACUUCACUCCUGACAAUCUGGCUUUUUUCACCAAUAUAAAAUGUAGUGGUUAAAAUUCUCUCCAGACAAUCUGGCUUCUUUCACCAAUAUAAAAUGUAGUGGUUAAACUUUUCUCCUGACAAUCUGGCUUCUUUCACCAAUAUAAAAUGUAGUGGUGAAACGUCUCUCCAGACAAUCUGGCUUCUUUCACCAAUAUAAAAUGUAGUGGUUAAACUUCUCUCCAGACAAUCUGGCUUCUUUCACCAAUAUAAAAUGUAGUGGUUAAACUUCUCAGACACUGGCUUUCACAUAUAAAAUAGUGUUAACUUCUCUCCAGACAAUCUGGCUUCUUUCACCAAUAUAAAAUGUAUUGGUUCAACUUCUCUCCAGACAAUCUGGCUUCUUUCAUCAAUUUAAACUGACAGUCACGAAAUAGUUUAUAGUACUGAAAGUGGCAUUAAACACCAAUCAAUUUAUUUGGUUUAAUUUUAACCAUACUGAGUUUACACAGCAGAAUCAUAAUGAUUCAUUCUGAAUGCAUUAUAAUUUAAACAAUGCCCUUUAUUAAUCCUUUAUAAUAUAUGAAAAAUACAUAUCCAUGCAUAUAUGUACCCUGAAAUUUCUUUAAUGUCUUAUGUUAAAUUUAAAUAAAAUUUAAGAUGCAUGUUUCAUAUCUUUUUCAGUGACAACCAUGACAACAAACUUUUAAAAUGGUGUGAAUAAUGCUUCGACACAGCAAGUAUAAACAGAGUAAAAG